UAACGGCGAGUGAAGCGGCAAAAGCUCAAAUUUGAAAUCUGGUACCUUCGGUGCCCGAGUUGUAAUUUGGAGAGGGCAACUUUGGGGCCGUUCCUUGUCUAUGUUCCUUGGAACAGGACGUCAUAGAGGGUGAGAAUCCCGUGUGGCGAGGAGUGCGGUUCUUUGUAAAGUGCCUUCGAAGAGUCGAGUUGUUUGGGAAUGCAGCUCUAAGUGGGUGGUAAAUUCCAUCUAAAGCUAAAUAUUGGCGAGAGACCGAUAGCGAACAAGUACAGUGAUGGAAAGAUGAAAAGAACUUUGAAAAGAGAGUGAAAAAGUACGUGAAAUUGUUGAAAGGGAAGGGCAUUUGAUCAGACAUGGUGUUUUGUGCCCUCUGCUCCUUGUGGGUAGGGGAAUCUCGCAUUUCACUGGGCCAGCAUCAGUUUUGGUGGCAGGAUAAAUCCAUAGGAAUGUAGCUUGCCUCGGUAAGUAUUAUAGCCUGUGGGAAUACUGCCAGCUGGGACUGAGGACUGCGACGUAAGUCAAGGAUGCUGGCAUAAUGGUUAUAUGCCGC
This 550-nucleotide ribosomal RNA is filed under the name Saccharomyces cerevisiae (brewer's yeast). Its description in RNAcentral is "partial large subunit ribosomal RNA". It matches the Rfam family "Eukaryotic large subunit ribosomal RNA", at positions 84 to 648 of the family's 3401-position model. The record is from RNAcentral. Lineage: Eukaryota; Fungi; Ascomycota; Saccharomycetes; Saccharomycetales; Saccharomycetaceae.